GAUUUUCCGGGGUGUACGUUACUUCCUUCACUGUGUUGACCGAUCAAGUAAUUUAAUUACGGGAUUGACUUCCUUUAUUCAUCAAAGCCAGCCUUUUCACGAGGACGCUAGUAUGAGUAAAUAGCCGAGCCCACCUGCCAUACCGCGGGUUCAAUACUAACGGAAGCUAAACGGCACUUCAGAUGAUCU
This 189-nucleotide non-coding RNA is filed under the name Loigolactobacillus rennini DSM 20253. RNAcentral describes it as "Lactobacillus rennini DSM 20253 6S / SsrS RNA". It matches the Rfam family "6S / SsrS RNA". Rfam says of the family: E. coli 6S RNA was the first non coding RNA to be sequenced, but its function was unknown until recently. It consists of 184 nucleotides that fold into an extended hairpin structure with a large single-stranded internal bulge. Lineage: Bacteria; Bacillati; Bacillota; Bacilli; Lactobacillales; Lactobacillaceae. The record is from Rfam by way of RNAcentral.